AGCAGCCGCGGUAAUUCCAGCUCCAAUAGCGUAUAUUAAAGUUGUUGCAGUUAAAAAGCUCGUAGUUGAAUUUCGGGAUCAAUAUGUCGGUCGUGCCAUCGGUACGUACUGGUAUCAUUGGUCUCUCCUUUCUGACGAACCAUGAUGUCAUUAAUUUGGUGUUAUGGGGAGUUAGGACUGUUACUUUGAAAAAAUUAGAGUGUUUAAAGCAGGCUUUAGCUUGAAUACAUUAGCAUGGAAUAAUGAAAUAGGACGUUCGAACCUAUUUUGUUGGUUUCUAGGAUCAACGUAAUGAUUAAUAGGGAUAGUUGGGGGCAUUAGUAUUCAAUUGUCAGAGGUGAAAUUCUUGGAUUUAUUGAAGACUAACUACUGCGAAAGCAUUUGCCAAGGAUGUUUUCAUUAAUCAAGAACGAAAGUUAGGGGAUCGAAGACGAUCAGAUACCGUCGUAGUCUUAACCAUAAACUAUGCCGACUAGGGAUCGGAUGAUGUUAAUUUUUAAUGACUCAUUUCGGCGCCUUA
This 520-nucleotide ribosomal RNA is filed under the name uncultured Glomus. RNAcentral describes it as "SSU rRNA". It matches the Rfam family "Eukaryotic small subunit ribosomal RNA", at positions 569 to 1090 of the family's 1831-position model. Lineage: Eukaryota; Fungi; Glomeromycota; Glomeromycetes; Glomerales; Glomeraceae. The record is from RNAcentral.